UUCGCAAUGCCCGAAAGGGUGACGAAGCGACGCCGCGUGUGGGAAGAAGGCCUUCGGGUUGUAAACCGCUGUCGGGAGUUAAGAAAUGCAAGGGUGUUAAUAGUAUCCUUGCUUGACUAAGGCUCCGGAGGAAGCCACGGCUAACUCUGUGCCAGCAGCCGCGGUAAGACAGAGGUGGCGAGCGUUGUUCGGAAUCACUGGGCUUAAAGAGCACGUAGGCGGCUGAGUAUGUCCGGUGUGAAAGCCCUUGGCCUAACCGAGGAACUGCGCCGGAAACUGCUCGGCUUGAGGGUAGGAGAGGAGAGUGGAACUCCUGGUGUAGCGGUGAAAUGCGUAGAUAUCAGGAGGAACGCCGGAGGCGAAAGCGACUCUCUGGCCUGACCCUGACGCUGUGGUGCGAAAGCUAGGGGCGCGAACGGGAUUAGAUACCCCGGUAGUCCUAACUGUAAACGAUGGGCACUAAGUAGAGGGGUUUU
RNAcentral lists this ribosomal RNA (476 nucleotides) under uncultured anaerobic ammonium-oxidizing bacterium. Its description in RNAcentral is "bacterial SSU rRNA". It matches the Rfam family "Bacterial small subunit ribosomal RNA", at positions 365 to 832 of the family's 1533-position model. The record is from RNAcentral.